RNAcentral lists this long non-coding RNA (1079 nucleotides) under Homo sapiens (human). RNAcentral describes it as "HSALNT0253187". Lineage: Eukaryota; Metazoa; Chordata; Mammalia; Primates; Hominidae. The record is from RNAcentral.
UCUCUGCCUAAAAUUCUUCAAAGAGGAGAAGAGGAAAAGAGUUGCUACCCUGCAUCAGGUCAUGCUCUACAAGAUGGGCCACCAUAACUGAGUGACACCUGGCCAUAUUUCUUCUUAAGGAAAAUAAAAAUCCAUUGUUAAAAUCACCGUUGCUCUAGAUGCCUACUGCUAAUGUGCUUCUGGAGGAACAGUUUUCAAAUGAGAAGUAACAGGAGCCGCUCUGAUUGAAACAAACUGGUGUUGAUUGCAGAUCAGCCAUCUGUAAAGGAGGCCACCUCGGGAAGGGUGUGAACUAAUGAAAAGAUGGGCCUGAUUUGGGAGCGUGAUGGGCUUUGUGCCACCGGCCUCUGUGAGUGGCAUGAGAUUAUAGCAGUGCGAGGAGAGGUAGAUUGAGAAUAAGUAACUUGUGUCUUAAAGAUUAAAUGGCAAAUUUGCUAUUAAAUGUGAAAGACAUAAAAUGGAAUUAUUGCUUUGAGGACGUUAGCUGUGGCCAUACCCACUCGCAGAGAGCGUGACGACCUGUCCUCCUGUCAACAACGCACCCAUCCCAGCAUGCCGAUUACAGGCCUGGAGAACAGAGUGGUGAACCCUGGGAGUGGCCCACACAGCACCUUCUUCGCAAGGCACUUCCUAUGGCCUCCCUUCCUCCAGUGACCUUCCAGACUGGUGAAUGUUAUUGAUGAAGUCAUUACGUAGCCCAGAAAGCCAGUCGAUAAUUCCCAGGGAUGUUGGUGAUCAGAGGGUGGCCUGGGAGAGGACAAUGAGAGGCUUCCACUGACUGCUGACCUGGAGAAGUGGUCCUGGAGUUCCAGGAGCCCAGGCUUGUGUGAUUAUAACAAAGGCAGAACCAGAGGUGAAUUUUAACAAUGCACCCAAUUGCCAGGGCAUUUGGAGUCAGUGAAGCAGGAUCCCAGAAACUGACCGGCACAGUGGAAGGCGUUCACGCUGCACCUCAGUGCCUGGGAGUAGGCACCCCACAAAUACUCCUUGAAAAAAUAAAACUUCGAUAUGUGGUCAAAUGUAGGGUCUGUAUUGCCCUGCCUGGCUCUAGAUACAACUUCUUCUUCUUACGUAGUCUG